AAUUUUGGACAAUGGGGGAAACCCUGAUCCAGCCAUCCCGCGUGUAUGAUGAAGGCCCUCGGGUUGUAAAGUACUUUUGGCAGAGAAGACAAGGUAUCUCUUAAUACGAGAUACUGCUGACGGUAUCUGCAGAAUAAGCACCGGCUAACUACGUGCCGGCAGCCGCGGUAAUGCGUAGGGUGCAAGCGUUAAUCGGAAGUACUGGGCGGAAAGCGUGUGUAGGCGGUUCGGAAAGAAAGAUGUGAAAUCCCAGGGCUCAACCUUGGAACUGCAUUUUUAACUGACGAGCUAGAGUAUGUCAGAGGGGGGUAGAAUUCCACGUGUAGCAGUGAAAUGCGUAGAUAUGUGGAGGAAUGCCGAUGGGGAAGGCAGCCCCCUGGGAUAAUACUGACGCUCAGACACGAAAGCGUGGGGAGCAAACA
RNAcentral lists this ribosomal RNA (422 nucleotides) under uncultured bacterium. RNAcentral describes it as "partial 16S ribosomal RNA". It matches the Rfam family "Bacterial small subunit ribosomal RNA", at positions 360 to 774 of the family's 1533-position model. The record is from RNAcentral.